RNAcentral lists this transfer RNA (70 nucleotides) under Callopanchax sidibeorum. Its description in RNAcentral is "tRNA-Phe". The record is from RNAcentral. Lineage: Eukaryota; Metazoa; Chordata; Actinopteri; Cyprinodontiformes; Nothobranchiidae.
GUUAACGUAGCUUAAUUAAAAGCAUAANANUGAAGUUGUUAAGAUAAGUCCUAGUUAGACUUCGUAGACA